UGGGGAAUAUUGGACAAUGGGCGAAAGCCUGAUCCAGCCAUGCCGCGUGUGUGAAGAAGGUCUUCGGAUUGUAAAGCACUUUAAGUUGGGAGGAAGGGCAUUAACCUAAUACGUUAGUGUUUUGACGUUACCGACAGAAUAAGCACCGGCUAACUCUGUGCCAGCAGCCGCGGUAAUACAGAGGGUGCACGCGUUAAUAGGAAUUACUGGGCGUAAAGCGCGCGUAGGUGGUUUGUUAAGUUGGAUGUGAAAUCCCCGGGCUCAACCUGGGAACUGCAUUCAAAACUGACUGACUAGAGUAUGGUAGAGGGUGGUGGAAUUUCCUGUGUAGCGGUGAAAUGCGUAGAUAUAGGAAGGAACACCAGUGGCGAAGGCGACCACCUGGACUAAUACUGACACUGAGGUGCGAAAGCGUGGGGAGCAAACA
Molecule: ribosomal RNA, 427 nt
Filed under: uncultured bacterium
Lineage: Bacteria
Description: partial 16S ribosomal RNA
Rfam family: Bacterial small subunit ribosomal RNA
Source: RNAcentral